RNAcentral lists this long non-coding RNA (295 nucleotides) under Carica papaya (papaya). Its description in RNAcentral is "long non-coding RNA (CPAP_LNC000210)". Lineage: Eukaryota; Viridiplantae; Streptophyta; Magnoliopsida; Brassicales; Caricaceae. The record is from RNAcentral.
AUUCAAUCAAAAACGGACGGCCCAGAUUAAAUCAAAAUGGACGGCUGAGAUCAAAAGGCAAAAGAGUAUAAAUAAGACCCCCACACCAGACCACAAACCCUAGCCGCCUGCCCUCGCCGAAGAAGACGAACCAGAAGCCGGCCGCCGCCACCCGCCGCCGCACCGGAGGGAUUUCCGACCGCCGAUCGAGGUAAAUUUCAUACCCCCGACUUGUUUUUCCACGCUGAUUUCCCCUGUGGCCAAAUCGGAGCCAAAAUCCCGGCCAAACGGCCGGGGCCCAGCGGCGCCGCUGCAC